UACCGAAAGGGGGGUCAGAUGUCGCCCUGUAAAUCUGCUGGUGGACCCUGAUCUCUCUGGAUGCAUCUGCGUGUCAGCCGGCGACCUUUCCGGAAGCACAUCUGCUCCGGAUCCUCGUAAGCCUGCACCUGUCUUUAACCUAAAACAUUCUUGGUUUCAAACCACAGGACAGAUGAUGUUGCUCUUGCUAGUCACAUGUCUCUGUCUGUUUUCUCAGCAGCACUCUCUAACUCGACCGUGUGGAUCUGGGUUCCCUUUGGGUGCAACAUCCAGGGGACCACCCAUCACUCGUGGUUCCAGCCAGUUCAGUCUGGUGGCGCUGUGACUUCUUCUAGUGAGCGGGCUCUCCAGAGCCUCAAUAUUCCGGUGUAUCCUUUCGUUCCUGUUCAACAAACAUAGAAGAUACCAGCAGGGGGCAGUAGGACUCCUCAUUAUCUGAGGGCUUCUCCUCCUGACCUACAGUUUGCUCCAAAUCCUGGUCACACAACAGUCACCUCUGGUAAACUGAUUAAUAACCUUUUGCAGGAAAAAUCAGGUCCUGACCUACCAACUAAACCACACUCUCCGGUCGUGUCUCUCAUUAACAUCUCCAAAGAUAUCGCGUCAACCAACAUAGCUGACCACCAACUCGAAUCGUGCCAGAAGGGGGGUGAACUUCCAUCCGCUCCCGCUGGGUUCUCUGAUUUCGGAUCACUGGAGUCCUGUUCUUCACCAUUGGUCUUCGCUGCCUGAGGGACCUCCAUCCAUGGGGGACUUCGCCAUCUGAGGGUCCUCUACGCCUGUUCCUGCCUGCCUGGUGUUCCUGUCGCAUGGAGCUUUGCUUCGGUCGUGGUUCGAGACGUCCUGAGUGCCCUGCGCUGAGAGGUCGCCUGGGGGCCAUCCGGGAACUGCCGCUGACGGCUGGUCGUCUGUCUACAUCCUCGUGCUCGGCUCUGUGUGGCCUUUAGGCAUUACUACUUAUGAUAAUCAACUGCUGUUGAAAUAGCCAUCUUCUCGAGGAUUACUUUACAAUGAUCUGCAAUUCUGACUUAACCAACUUCUCAGGAUAUGCUCCUGUCUUCCCUGGGGGAGGAAACGCUUACCUCUCUCCAGCCUUCACCUGGACUGCAACAGCUUCUUCAGAAAGAGAGUCCCUUCACGUCUUUGGUUGCCAACGACAGGUGGUUUUCUGUGGCCACCUGCCAUUGACAAAGGGGGGUCUCUAGCAUCACGGAAGGUCCUCUAAUUUGUGGCAAAGGUCACAUUUACCCAGCUGGGUCAAGCUGUAACUUUCAAGUCCACAGAUUAACCCAGGAGUCAUGAUGUCUGGAAGAACAUAUCACCAUAUCUGCCGCUGUUCCGUCCCAGAAGAAGGACACUCCAAGCUCACGAUAAUAAUUAAAUAAUAAUAAUAAUAAACUAUUUGAUUUUAUUACUGUUUAUUAUAACCAUCAUAAAUGAUCACUUGGUUCAGUAUAAAGGUAUUUUAAUGACAUGAAAUGAAUUAUUAUGCUUUGGGUACAAUAAUGAUUAAUUAUGAUUAUGCUUGAUGACAGUAAUGUGUUCAACAAAGAAGGUCCCUUUCACCUUAUCCAUCUAACACAGAGUUCAUCCAGAUAAACAAUAACUGCAACACAUGUUUUUGAUGCAUGAUCAAAGCUUUCUUGCUGAGAGAGUGGGAGUGUUCUGAGAGCUUCGUAAACUAACCAUCACCAGCUUCAAGUCAGUUUGUGAACCCACCACCAUCACUGAGGAAGGGAACGGCCGUCCCUAACCUCCACCUGCUGUUCUGUCACGCCGACAAGAAUAGCUAAGAAUAAACAAAACGGUAACCAGCUAACGAAAAAGUCCUUACAGAGUUAUUGAUUUCUGAGUUAAGACGAGAAACUCCUUCAGAGUUACGGACUUUGAGACGCCAAUCAGUCGUGUGACCGACGGAGACAACCCAGGACUGAUUUGGUCGCAUCGAGGUCCUUCUGCCAUCCUCGUGCCCGGAGGAAAUCAUCUCCACUUGACAUCUCGGAUCCGAAAGGGGGUCUCCGGAAACUGGGAGAGGUAGACACUAUGACAGAUGACGUUUGAUGCUGUUUCCUCUAAGUAAACAACUCAGGUAGCGCAAAACAUCAUUUUCAGCUCCGAACGCUUUCCUCUCUCUGAAAGAAAUCUUCUUGAAAAUUCCAUUCACGCAUCCAAACUCCUAUUUCCAAUUUAGCUUUCAUCCAGCCACAGGUUUGCCUUUUAAACAAGUUUAAUAUCAAAGCUGUUAAAAAUUUUCAUUAAAUUGUCAUCCAUGAAUUGUCGUUCAAAUCGUAACGUUUAAAAUUGUUAGUAAUAA
Non-coding RNA from Nothobranchius furzeri (turquoise killifish), 2314 nucleotides. The record is from RefSeq and is a predicted model, not a curated record. Lineage: Eukaryota; Metazoa; Chordata; Actinopteri; Cyprinodontiformes; Nothobranchiidae.